GGAGACAGCCACACCGCCUGAAGUUUAGAUUAGGUAAUCCGUCGGAAGCUGAGCAGGUUUGGGCCUGGUCAGUACGUGGAUGGGAGACCAAUGAAGAAAGCUGGGUUGCUGCU
Molecule: ribosomal RNA, 113 nt
Filed under: Paramormyrops kingsleyae
Lineage: Eukaryota; Metazoa; Chordata; Actinopteri; Osteoglossiformes; Mormyridae
Source: RNAcentral